This 185-nucleotide small nuclear RNA is filed under the name Propithecus coquereli (Coquerel's sifaka). Its description in RNAcentral is "U2 spliceosomal RNA (ENSPCOG00000002350.1)". It matches the Rfam family "U2 spliceosomal RNA". From Rfam's summary of the family: U2 is a small nuclear RNA (snRNA) component of the spliceosome (involved in pre-mRNA splicing). Complementary binding between U2 snRNA (in an area lying towards the 5' end but 3' to hairpin I) and the branchpoint sequence (BPS) of the intron results the bulging out of an unpaired adenosine, on the BPS, which initiates a nucleophilic attack at the intronic 5' splice site, thus starting the first of two transesterification reactions that mediate splicing. Lineage: Eukaryota; Metazoa; Chordata; Mammalia; Primates; Indriidae. The record is from Rfam by way of RNAcentral.
GUUGCUUCUCAGCCUUUUGGCUGAGAUUGAGGGUUCUUACCAGUUUAAUAUCUGAUAUGUCCCUCUAUUCGAGGACAACAUAUUAAAUGGAUUUCUGGAGCAGGAAAAUGGAAUACGUGCUUGCUUCAUCCCCACUCCACACAUCAACCUGGUACUGCAGUAUCUCCAGGAAUGGUGCAUUCCCA